RNAcentral lists this ribosomal RNA (253 nucleotides) under uncultured bacterium. RNAcentral describes it as "partial 16S ribosomal RNA". It matches the Rfam family "Bacterial small subunit ribosomal RNA", at positions 524 to 776 of the family's 1533-position model. The record is from RNAcentral.
UACGGAGGGUGCGAGCGUUGUUCGGAAUCACUGGGCGUAAAGCGCGUGUAGGCGGCCUCCUAAGUCUGGUGUGAAAGCCCGGGGCUUACCCCCGGAAGGGCACUGGAAACUGGGAGGCUGGAGUACCGGAGAGGAGGGUGGAAUUCCUGGUGUAGCGGUGAAAUGCGUAGAUAUCAGGAGGAACACCGGUGGCGAAGGCGGCCCUCUAAACGGAUACUGACGCUGAGACGCGAAAGCGUGGGGAGCAAACAGG